Molecule: long non-coding RNA, 1462 nt
Organism: Ruditapes philippinarum (Manila clam)
Lineage: Eukaryota; Metazoa; Mollusca; Bivalvia; Venerida; Veneridae
Exons: 2
Source: RefSeq, a predicted model, not a curated record
CGUCUUUUGCACUAAUGAACAGUUACCAAUUUGACUCUUUAUAUGCAUCAUUAAUAAAUCUAAAAUGAACAUUUAUAUGGCUAGCACAUCAUUAACACACCGAUUUUCAGAUGUGUCUAUGCAGUGCCGACUUAUCUUUUAAAAUAAAGAUGCCAUGAACCAGGUUUUGUCCAGAAUGGGAUUUUUCUAUGUACUUUACACUGCCUGAUCAUCUCAAGAGAUCGACUCCGGUAUAAAACAAGAAGAUGGAUAUAUUGAAAAAAUAGUCACAUGUGACUUCUUUAUUUAAUCAUGAUAUUCGUGAAAUACCAAUAGUAAUAAUUAUAUAAACAGUAAUAACAGUUUAUAUACAUCCUGGAACAAUUGUUUUCUAUAAAUAUACAUAAUAUAUACAGAGGACAUCACAGGCGAAAAAAUAUGUAACAUUACUAAGCUGUGGACACUCAGUGUUAUUUUGUUUAAAGAAAUUACGUCAAGAAUGAGUGACCUUGCUCUAUUCCUAACAACAAAAACUCAAUAAACGUUUGGAAAAUAUCACUUUCCUUUUAGUCAAAACAAAAAAAAAACAUAAAUACUAUUCAAGGGAUUAAUCUAAAAUGUUUCUCUCAUGAAUCAAAAUUUUCAACAAAAAAAUGUCAUAAACAAGGCAAAACAUGCUUAAAGAUGACCAAUCAUUACAAUCAUUAUAAAUUCUUUGAGUAAAAAAAACUUAAGGAUAAAAUUUUCUAAACAACUCUAACAGUAUAUGCAUUCAAUAAACUGUUGUCGUUCUUAUAUGGGUGUUUUUAGUAAAACAAAAAUACUGUAAAAAUAUCUCUAAAUCAAACAAUUUGGACAAAUCAUUAACAAAAAGUCUUAAGAAUAGAACAACUGUCAAUAGCUUAGUUUAUAAUAUGUUAACAAUGUAGCAAAUGGCACACUAUUAUGCACAAUGUACUUUAUGUUGAUGAAAACAUGAAAAUACAAGAAAUAAUGAAAUCAGUGAAAGAUGACAGAUAGAAUGAGAAAAUGAUGAAAUAAUGACGUCAUAGAAAUGAGAAUGAAACAAAAACAGAUAUGACUAAACUUUGUGACAGAAGUACAAAAAAUGGCGACACAAAAAAAACGCAUUUAUGGACGAAACUUUUAAUGGGCUUUGCCCAAUGAAAAUGGAAUGACGGGAGACACGCCUGGUCACGUGAUUCAUUUUAACUGUGUAUUCGCCUUUCUACAGCUUGAAAUAUACAUAUAUCUUUAUACUUAUAAUUAAUCAUUAACUAUAUGGAUUGAAUAUUUUUCGUCUAGGAUAAAUUUUGUAGAAAAGAGGUUUGUCCAAAUAGGCUGAGAGGAGAGAGAUAAAAUAUUUCAAGGUUAAGAAGUUUCAAGGUCAAAAUAAAUUUCAAGAUUGUUAUAAAAUAAAUACAAAGAUUCUAAAUAUACAUAAAAUCAUCAAAAUGCAAAACAAAUCAAAAAUGCACAAAAA